UGCGGCCUAUCAGGUAGUUGGUGGGGUAAAGGCCUACCAAGCCUGCGACGGGUAGCCGGACUGAGAGGUCGACCGGCCACACUGGAACUGAGACACGGUCCAGACUCCUACGGGAGGCAGCAGUGGGGAAUAUUGCACAAUGGGGGAAACCCUGAUGCAGCGACGCCGCGUGGAGGAUGACGGCCUUCGGGCUGUAAACUCCUUUUGUCAGGGACAAUGGUGAUGGUACCUGACGAAUAAGCCACGGCUAACUCUGUGCCAGCAGCCGCGGUAAGACAGAGGUGGCGAGCGUUGUUCGGAAUUACUGGGCUUAAAGGGCGCGUAGGCGGUGGUGUAAGUCUGGGGUGGAAUGCUACAGCUCAACUGUAGAGCUGCCUUGGAAACUGCAUUACUUGAGUCGGUGAGGGGAAGGCGGAAUUCCUGGUGUAGCGGUGAAAUGCGUAGAUAUCAGGAGGAAGGUCUGUGGCGAAGGCGGCCUUCUGGCACUUGACUGACGCUGAGGCGCGAAAGCGUGGGGAGCAAACAGGAUUAGAUACCCUGGUAGUCCACGCCCUAAACGGUGGGUAUUAGGUGUGGGGCCUUCAUGGGUUCCGUGCCGUAGCGAAAGCA
Molecule: ribosomal RNA, 609 nt
Filed under: uncultured bacterium
Lineage: Bacteria
Description: bacterial SSU rRNA
Rfam family: Bacterial small subunit ribosomal RNA
Source: RNAcentral